AGAGGGGCAGAGACCGAGACAAAGCUCCGGAGAGGGAGCCAGAGCGGGAGAGACCGCGAGCAGGGGACGCCAGUCUGGGGAGGACAGGAAAGCAGCUGAAACAAUGAGGGCGACCGACACCCCAGAUGGAGAGAGACUCAGAGACCCCGACAGGUGACGGCCACGCCGAGAGACAGACUGAUGGCGGGACUGAGGAAGGCGAGGCUAGGUAGAGAUGUUGUUAUUGAAGAUGAUAGGAUUGAUGACGUGCUGAAAAAUAUGACAGACAAGGCACCUCCUGGUGUCUAACCCCCCCCCCCCAAAAGACAAUGAGUUAAAGGGAGAGAAUAAGAGCGGCGGUAACAGUCAUUGGCAAAACGCAUGAAAAGAGAAAGCACUUUGAAAUUUAUUACUAGCUUGCGACCCACGAUGAAAUCAGCAACCUGUAUCUCGCGUCAGGCCGGGAGACAGAUGAGGCGGGAGAAGGAGGAGGAGAAGGCUCUGGGCUCCUCAGCAAAAACAAAAAUUAAAAAAAAAAAAUUUAAAAUUUAAAAAUCACUCUAUACACACAUAUAAAGAAAUAAAAAAGACGUCUCAGUUGCAGCUACUUGUCAAAAGUAAUAUCUAUUUCUUUUUAUAUACAGUGAAUAUUGCACAAUUAUAGAUCUGGAUUUUGAGCCACUUAAAUAAUGAAGCGGCAACACCGGGUGUUUUGAAUGUUGGCAUUGUUCGCUGAUUUGGCUGUUCCCAAUGUUUACAUUAUUUAAUCUUGCAAAAAUGGUUCUGUGCACUUGGAUGUGAAAUGCUGUCCAGUUUUCUUUUUUUUAUGUUGUUCUCCUUGGAUGUACAAGAAAAAAAAAUCAGCAAAUGAUCUCUAUAGAUAUUGUUUUAUUUUUGGUCAUCUUUUGAAGUUACCAGGAAUGUGUUUAAAACAAGAAGAGAACUUUUCUAAGGAAUGAUACCUAGACUGAAUCCUUGUCUUACUUUAAAAUGACUUGUAAAGCUUGUGUUUCUCUGUUGCUGCAAGCUAUUUGCCCAAGUUAAUGCAAAUGGACACAUUUUAUAUGUCAGGAAAAAAAAAACACACAAAAACAAAGAAAAAAAAAUGCUUGAGCUUUUUCUAACCUCUUCCUGCAGUCUGUUGUGUGAGCAGCCUGUUUUUUCUCUCUAAUAUUGUGUCAGUUUAUUCUCUUCGAUGGGCUGUAAAAAAAAAUGUAAUCACAAGAGUGCCAAAUAUCUUGAAAUGCCAAAAGGCAUUUUGGUUUCUUUCUUUUUCCCUGUGCUCUGAGUCCACGUUAAGGAAUGCUUGGAGAGUCUUUUCUGUUAUUUAUAGGGGUUCUCUUAAGGCACACCAGCUGCCUGUUUUGCAUGGUAUUUGCAAAAACGCCUCUUGUGUGAGGAAAUCUUUUACCACUUUUUGUUUGCAACUUUGGACCUCAAGAGGUUUCUUCCCUGCCCUGUUCCCUCUUUUCUUAACUCGAUAUUCUGGAUGUUGCACCUUUAACCAGCACACAGGGCUAUUUCUCCAAUGUACAAUAAAAGAACUGUUCCUGUGUCUCA
Molecule: long non-coding RNA, 1539 nt
Organism: Herpailurus yagouaroundi (jaguarundi)
Lineage: Eukaryota; Metazoa; Chordata; Mammalia; Carnivora; Felidae
Exons: 2
Source: RefSeq, a predicted model, not a curated record